AGCCAUAUCAUGCUGGAAACACUGGUUAUUGUAUAAUCACUGAAGUUAAGCAACAUCGAGUUUGGUCAGUACCUAGAUGGGUGACUGCUUGGGAAUGCCAGGUGCUG
Non-coding RNA from Acanthosepion pharaonis, 107 nucleotides. The record is from the annotation of a GenBank genome assembly. Lineage: Eukaryota; Metazoa; Mollusca; Cephalopoda; Sepiida; Sepiidae.